RNAcentral lists this long non-coding RNA (1103 nucleotides) under Hordeum vulgare. RNAcentral describes it as "long non-coding RNA (HVUL_LNC000166)". Lineage: Eukaryota; Viridiplantae; Streptophyta; Magnoliopsida; Poales; Poaceae. The record is from RNAcentral.
AGAGUUUUGGCACCGCAGUUGUUAUUGCUUUUAUAGAUGAUGUAAAAAACGGAGCCAAAACGAUCACUUGAGCAUGAUUCGUGCAUAUUUUGAAAUUUCAAAAUCUACUUAAGCAAUAUACAUUUAAAACAACAUAAUUUUACACUGCUAAGAUAGAUUGGCACUAUUACGGACAUACUACAGUAUGUAGAUCAUUAGAGACCAUGACGCCUACUGCCUACAGUACUUCUCGAACUUGUCGUCACCAUCGUCGAGGUUGAUCAUCCCUGGUGGUGCGCCAGAGGGGCCUGCCUCAUGGUCAUUGCUGGUACAGGCUUCACAUCCUCCUCCUCCUCCUUUUAGAAUCCCACCCUCUUGAGCUCGUCGAACAUCUCAUCGACCUCGGUGAAAGUGUUGUGACCCAUCUCCUUGCCUUCCUUCUUCCUGCGCUCCUUGCAUCACUUGACGAAGAAUUAACGCGUCACCCCCUCGAGGUCCAGAUCAGCGUUGGUGAAGUUCGCCAUGUACAAUAUACCCAUGUCUUUGGCACUUUAAUGUGCCUCGCCUCGGCACUUCUCAUGGGAAACAAUUUAUACAGCAGGGAUGAAGAACUGUGCUCCUUGAAGUUGAGCUUGUAAUAGUACGAUAGUUUUCAUAAGCUGGUUAUUUCUUCUUUUUGUGAGGCUAAUAAGUCGGUUCUUAAAGUGUGGCAUCUUCCAAACAUUACACAUAUCCUAGUUAACAAUAGCACAAGUUAGCCCAUAGAGACCACUUAACUACAAAUUGUUAAAAAUUAAUAUUGUUGUUUGAUGAAUCGAUUGAAAACAAUAAAUCCAUCGGGCACCCCUCUUAGUCACUUGUGUCAUGAGGCACAGAAGUGAACGACAAAGUAAUUCAUUUACUAAUGCGGACUGACAAGCUGAUUGUGAGCAUGCAGAAUGAACGCCAAAAUUGUUGGCUUGCUAGGUGGCAAGUGUUUCCAGUAGGAACUGCACGUACUCAGAACAACAAUGAUGUUGGGCAAACGCAACUGCGCUUCCUUGUUGAUAUCGCCAAUUCCCUGAUGCCUACCGUGCCCAUCAACGUUAAACCACUCAUGCGUGCAGCUGGCAAUAUGAACAUAG